Molecule: ribosomal RNA, 232 nt
Filed under: uncultured bacterium
Lineage: Bacteria
Description: partial 16S ribosomal RNA
Rfam family: Bacterial small subunit ribosomal RNA
Source: RNAcentral
UGGGCAACCUGCCCCUCUCUCUGGGAUAACCCCGGGAAACCGGAGCUAAUACCGGAUACUCCGGCUGGAUCGCAUGGUCCGGCCGGGAAAGGUCCGCCGGAGAGGGAUGGGCCCGCGGCCUAUCAGCUUGUUGGUGGGGUCAUGGCUCACCAAGGCGACGACGGGUAGCUGGUCUGAGAGGAUGACCAGCCACACUGGAACUGAGAUACGGUCCAGACUCCUACGGGAGGCA